RNAcentral lists this long non-coding RNA (1199 nucleotides) under Equus caballus (horse). Its description in RNAcentral is "lncRNA (ENSECAG00000028136.2)". The record is from RNAcentral. Lineage: Eukaryota; Metazoa; Chordata; Mammalia; Perissodactyla; Equidae.
GGCAAAGAAAAAUAAAUAACGUAGAUAUUCAUGGAAAGUCCAUAACCCAGGACCGAUGAGUAACUUGAAAAUGCAGGCAAGAGUCUACUGCCCUUUUAUCGUUUUUGCCUCUUGUUUCUAUUGCCUUUUAUUGCCUCUAUUGAUGGCAAUAGAAGCUGUGAACAUGGUAAGGAAAAAAGAGACUGCUAAAACGGACCUGGCACUGAGUCUUGUCACACAGCAUUGCAGGUCAAUGAGAACACAAGCCGAAUUUGACUUGACCUUUUUAAAAUCUUCACUGUAACCUUGAUCACCCUCUUAACUGAAUUAUGGAUCUCAGGUUGGUUGUGUCUUUAAUGUUCUUCACUCAUUUAUAUUAAAUGGCUAUUUGUUGUUGUUGUUGCUGUUUUGUCAAUUGGUUCAAUGAAAAUGGCCAUAUCCAAAUGGUCAAGAACAACUAAGCAGAGAUGUUACUUGUCAUAAAUAAUAGAGAAGAUUUUCAAAGAUGUUGGAAUAUGUAAUGGUAACGUCCUUGUGAAUUCAGAAGAGUGAAGAACUGUCUCGUUUGAGAAGAAAAGGCCAUCUUAUUCUAGUGAAUAAGGGAGGUUUGUUGUAAGAAACGGAGGACUGAAAAAGUCUAUGAAGAACAAGAUAUAGCCAAUAUGACUCACGGCAGGUGAGAGGACACAGCUGGAGAAGAGCAAGUCCAGGCUUCCGCUUCCCUUGGGUGGCUGACUUCUAGAUCUGCAAUGCUUAAUCAUAAAAAAAAGGAAGCAAUGGUUGAGGACAUUAAAUGAGAAAUGUGUCUUCAAAGUACCUCGCCUGAAGAGCCAAGAUAAUUUACCAAGCCCGGAAAAGGGCAAGAGCACAUCAGGAUCAGGAUGGACACAACAGAGCUCAGUCUUGAGAAACAAUCGCAGUCCACGUCACCUCACUCAACUUCUAUUCUGUGGCCAGAACAGCCUUCAUGACGUGAACGUUCACCUGUCUUCCUCCUGGUUGCACUUUCAUAAUGGACUAUAAGAUGAAUUCUAAACACUUUUGCAAAGAAUAUAAGACUCUUCGGUAUUAGACACCUGCCUCCCCACUCAGAUUAAUCUUCCAAUGCUGUUCCCUUUGUCUGGACUACCUGAGACUCCCACAAGUCCCACAGCUUCACUUGAAAUGCUCCCUUCUUCAUGAAAAUUCCCUGUCUCUUGAAGGCAUGCUUAGAUGACACG